AGUCGAGGGGUAUAUGUCUUCGGAUAUAGAGACCGGCGCACGGGUGCGUAACGCGUAUGCAAUCUACCUUUUACAGAGGGAUAGCCCAGAGAAAUUUGGAUUAAUACCUCAUAGUAUAGCUCUACCGCAUGGUAGUACUAUUAAAGUCACAACGGUAAAAGAUGAGCAUGCGUCCCAUUAGCUAGUUGGUAAGGUAACGGCUUACCAAGGCAACGAUGGGUAGGGGUCCUGAGAGGGAGAUCCCCCACACUGGUACUGAGACACGGACCAGACUCCUACGGGAGGCAGCAGUGAGGAAUAUUGGACAAUGGGCGCAAGCCUGAUCCAGCCAUGCCGCGUGCAGGAUGACGGUCCUAUGGAUUGUAAACUGCUUUUGUACGAGAAGAAACACUGCUUCGUGAAGCAGCUUGACGGUAUCGUAAGAAUAAGGAUCGGCUAACUCCGUGCCAGCAGCCGCGGUAAUACGGAGGAUCCAAGCGUUAUCCGGAAUCAUUGGGUUUAAAGGGUCCGUAGGCGGUUUAGUAAGUCAGUGGUGAAAGCCCAUCGCUCAACGGUGGAACGGCCAUUGAUACUGCUGAACUUGAAUUAUUAGGAAGUAACUAGAAUAUGUAGUGUAGCGGUGAAAUGCUUAGAGAUUACAUGGGAAUACCAAUUGCGAAAGGCAGGUUACUACUAAUUGAUUGACGCUGAUGG
RNAcentral lists this ribosomal RNA (693 nucleotides) under Flavobacterium sp. T103.04.SL.DC.W. RNAcentral's name for it is "bacterial SSU rRNA". It matches the Rfam family "Bacterial small subunit ribosomal RNA", at positions 60 to 752 of the family's 1533-position model. Lineage: Bacteria; Pseudomonadati; Bacteroidota; Flavobacteriia; Flavobacteriales; Flavobacteriaceae. The record is from RNAcentral. RNAcentral also lists the same sequence under 1 other name.